UUAGUUUUGUUCUUUCAAUAUAUUUGUUUGUAUUGUAAACUCAAUCUUUACAUUUUAAGUUUUGGGUAUUCAAUUUUAUUUUCUUUGCAUUAAUCAAAUUCCACAAGAUCUUCUGUUUUCAUAUCAUCAGAUUGAGCAAACUCAUAUUAUAUCAGUUAAGCUCUCUUUUGAUCGUAUUUAAGAUUAACUUGCAUGCUUUUGUUCCUCUUGUUGGAUAUGGCGACGAUAAGUACUACGAGUUCUUCAGUAUUGGUUCUUCCAUUCCAGAAAGCAUUUACCGAUUUCAUGUUGGACAAUGGAUACGGAUUCUCUUUGAACGUAUACGUGGAAAUCUAUCUUUUUUGAAGGGCGUAAUUUUUGAACAUUCUUGAAAUUCAUCACCUUCAAGAUAUAUCAUCGACAACUCCAUAACGAUUCCUGCUAAGAAACAUGCAGACGGGUUAAUUAACCCAAAGUAUGCUACAUGGAAGGAGAAGAAUUGUACGUUAUCCUUAUUGCGACGGUAUUCAAUCAAUCUGGGAUCGAUAAUCUGUAUUUUCA
This 540-nucleotide long non-coding RNA is filed under the name Zostera marina. RNAcentral's name for it is "long non-coding RNA (ZMAR_LNC002955)". The record is from RNAcentral. Lineage: Eukaryota; Viridiplantae; Streptophyta; Magnoliopsida; Alismatales; Zosteraceae.